CGUCUAGGCGGGGAAUUAAGUUAGGUGUGAAAUCCAUGGGCUCAACUCGUGAAUGGCAUCUAAAACUGGUUCUCUUGAGUCCGGGAGAGGAGAGCAGAAUUCCUGGUGUAGCGGUGAAAUGCGUAGAUAUCAGGAGGAAUACCAGUGGCGAGGGCGGCUCUCUGGCCUAGGACUGACGCUGAAGCGCGAAAGCGUGGGGAGCGAACG
Molecule: ribosomal RNA, 207 nt
Filed under: uncultured bacterium
Lineage: Bacteria
Description: partial 16S ribosomal RNA
Rfam family: Bacterial small subunit ribosomal RNA
Source: RNAcentral